CAACUGAAGAGUUUGAUCCUGGCUCAGAUUGAACGCUGGCGGCAUGCUUUACACAUGCAAGUCGAACGGGGUGAAGGGGCAACUCUUCAUUCAGUGGCGAACGGGUGAGUAAUACAUCGGAACGUACCUCGUAGUGGGGGAUAACUCGGCGAAAGCCGUGCUAAUACCGCAUAUGCUCUACGGAGGAAAGCAGGGGACCUGAGAGGGCCUUGUGCUAUGGGAGCGGCCGAUGUCCGAUUAGCUUGUUGGUGGGGUAAUGGCCUACCAAGGCGACGAUCGGUAGCUGGUCUGAGAGGAUGAUCAGCCACACUGGGACUGAGACACGGCCCAGACUCCUACGGGAGGCAGCAGUGGGGAAUUUUGGACAAUGGGGGCAACCCUGAUCCAGCC
Molecule: ribosomal RNA, 390 nt
Filed under: Pseudomonadota bacterium
Lineage: Bacteria; Pseudomonadati; Pseudomonadota
Description: bacterial SSU rRNA
Rfam family: Bacterial small subunit ribosomal RNA
Source: RNAcentral